AAUUACUCCUUCCUUUAGAAGUGCCUCAAAUAAGCUUGUUCCUUAAAUCCAUAAAAUACUUAAAAAAGGAGAACCAGUGUUUCGCGAUAGGUAAUUUUUUCAAGAGCGUCGAUUUGCGAAAAUUUAUGUUCGCAAAAUCUUAUAUUACUGCUUAUUCGCGAAAGUUUAUGUUCCUACCAGUGUUUCGCGAUAGGUAAUUUUUUCAAGAGCGUCGAUUUGUGAAAAUUUAUGUUCGCAAAAUCUUUUAUUACUGCUUAUUCGCGAAAGUUUAUGUUCCU
This is a long non-coding RNA of Hydractinia symbiolongicarpus, 278 nucleotides long. RefSeq lists it as uncharacterized. The record is from RefSeq and is a predicted model, not a curated record. Lineage: Eukaryota; Metazoa; Cnidaria; Hydrozoa; Anthoathecata; Hydractiniidae. The transcript has 2 exons.